This 587-nucleotide ribosomal RNA is filed under the name uncultured bacterium. Its description in RNAcentral is "partial 16S ribosomal RNA". It matches the Rfam family "Bacterial small subunit ribosomal RNA", at positions 355 to 1375 of the family's 1533-position model. The record is from RNAcentral.
UGGGGAAUUUUGGACAAUGGGCGAAAGCCUGAUCCAGCAAUGCCGCGUGUGUGAAGAAGGCCUUCGGGUUGUAAAGCACUUUUGUCCGGAAAGAAAUCCUUGGCUCUAAUACAGUCGGGGGAUGACGGUACCGGAAGAAUAAGCACCGGCUAACUACGUGCCAGCAGCCGCGGUAAUACGUAGGGUGCAAGCGUUAAUCGGAAUUACUGGGCGUAAAGCGUGCGCAGGCGGUUUGCUAAGACCGAUGUGAAAUCCCCGGGCUCAACCUGGGAACUGCAUUGGUGACUGGCAGGCUAGAGUAUGGCAGAGGGGGGUAGAAUUCCACGUGUAGCAGUGAAAUGCGUAGAGAUGUGGAGGAAUACCGAUGGCGAAGGCAGCCCCCUGGGCCAAUACUGACGCUCAUGCACGAAAGCGUGGGGAGCAAAACAGGAUUAGAUACCCUGGUAGUCCACGCCCCUAAACGAUGUCAACUAGUUGUUGGGGGAUUCAUUUCCUUAGUAACGUAGCUAACGCGUGAAGUUGACCGCCUGGGGAGUACGGUCGCAAGAUUAAAACUCAAAGAAUUGACGGGGUCAUAGCUGUUUCCU